Molecule: ribosomal RNA, 433 nt
Filed under: uncultured bacterium
Lineage: Bacteria
Description: partial 16S ribosomal RNA
Rfam family: Bacterial small subunit ribosomal RNA
Source: RNAcentral
AGCGAACGCUGGCGGCAGGCCUAACACAUGCAAGUCGAACGAACCUUUCGGGGUAGUGGCGGACGGGUGAGUGACACGUGGGAACGUGCCCUUAGGUUCGGGAUAACGCAGGGUAACUUGUGCUAAUACCGAAAGUGCCCUUCGGGGGAAAGAUUUAUCGCCGUUAGGGGGGGCCGCGCCCGAUUAGCUAGUUGGUUGAGGUAAUGGCUCACCAAGGCGACGAACAGUAGCUGGUCUGAGAGGAUGGGCAGACACAUUGGGACUGAGACACGGCCCAAAAUCCUACGGGAGGCAGCAGUGGGGGAUCUUGCGCAAUGGGCGAAAGCCUGACGCAGCCAUGCCGCGUGAAUGAUGAAGGUCUUAGGAUUGUAAAAUUCUUUCACCGGGGACGAUAAUGACGGUACCCGGAGAAGAAGCCCCGGCUAACUUCGUG